RNAcentral lists this transfer RNA (55 nucleotides) under Philometra sp. HZ-2022. RNAcentral's name for it is "tRNA-Thr". Lineage: Eukaryota; Metazoa; Nematoda; Chromadorea; Rhabditida; Philometridae. The record is from RNAcentral.
GCUAUUUUAGUUCAGGUAAGAAUAGCUAUUUUGUAAGUGGCAGGGUAGAGUAGUU